RNAcentral lists this transfer RNA (70 nucleotides) under Camelus bactrianus (Bactrian camel). It matches the Rfam family "tRNA". Rfam says of the family: Transfer RNA (tRNA) molecules are approximately 80 nucleotides in length. Their secondary structure includes four short double-helical elements and three loops (D, anti-codon, and T loops). Further hydrogen bonds mediate the characteristic L-shaped molecular structure. tRNAs have two regions of fundamental functional importance: the anti-codon, which is responsible for specific mRNA codon recognition, and the 3' end, to which the tRNAs corresponding amino acid is attached (by aminoacyl-tRNA synthetases). tRNAs cope with the degeneracy of the genetic code in two manners: having more than one tRNA (with a specific anti-codon) for a particular amino acid; and 'wobble' base-pairing, i.e. permitting non-standard base-pairing at the 3rd anti-codon position. RNAcentral also lists the same sequence under 2 other names. The record is from Rfam by way of RNAcentral. Lineage: Eukaryota; Metazoa; Chordata; Mammalia; Artiodactyla; Camelidae.
GGGUGUACCUCAGUGGUAGAGCGCGUGCUUAGCAUGCAUGAGGUCCUGGGUUCAAUUCCCAGUACAUCCA